RNAcentral lists this ribosomal RNA (510 nucleotides) under uncultured bacterium. RNAcentral's name for it is "partial 16S ribosomal RNA". It matches the Rfam family "Bacterial small subunit ribosomal RNA", at positions 28 to 507 of the family's 1533-position model. The record is from RNAcentral.
GACGAACGCUGGCGGCGUGCUUAACACAUGCAAGUCGAACGAAGAGCGAUGGAAGCUUGCUUCUCUCAAUCUUAGUGGCGAGCGGGUGAGUAACGCGUAAUCAACCUGCCCUUCAGAGGGGGACAACAGUUGGAAACGACUGCUAAUACCGCAUACGAUCUAAACUCGGCAUCGAGGAUAGAUGAAAGGUGGCCUCUACAUGUAAGCUAUCACUGAAGGAGGGGAUUGCGUCUGAUUAGCUAGUUGGAGGGGUAACGGCCCACCAAGGCGAUGAUCAGUAGCCGGUCUGAGAGGAUGAACGGCCACAUUGGGACUGAGACACGGCCCAGACUCCUACGGGAGGCAGCAGUGGGGAAUCUUCCGCAAUGGACGAAAGUCUGACGGAGCAACGCCGCGUGAGUGAUGACGGCCUUCGGGUUGUAAAGCUCUGUUAAUCGAGACGAAAGGCCUUCUUGCGAAUAGUGAGAAGGAUUGACGGUACCGGAAUAGAAAGCCACGGCUAACUACGUG